Long non-coding RNA from Puntigrus tetrazona (Sumatra barb), 1367 nucleotides. RefSeq lists it as uncharacterized. The transcript has 3 exons. The record is from RefSeq and is a predicted model, not a curated record. NCBI's taxonomy places the organism in Eukaryota, Metazoa, Chordata, Actinopteri, Cypriniformes, Cyprinidae.
CCGCUCGCUACAAGCAGGCCGAUUGUUCCUAGAGAUGGUGUUUGAAGUGAGCAAGGUGAGAAUGUCUGCUCAAUGCUGUUUUUUGUCAACAGCUCAGGAUCUCCCUGUCAGCUUCUGCAGAAGCUUCGGCGGUCCAAGGUAACAGCAUGCAUUGUGUGGAAAACGGCAUUCUGUUCGACGUUUCCUUUUGUGUCGUAUGAAAAUGUUUUCGCCUCUGCAUCCUCCCCUACCUCAGGUUUGCGUACGUGCCAAAAUCAAGCGCAGAACUCCGAUCUCCCACGCCUCUCAAAACCGCUUCACAAUGUUAGCAGAUCUGCCUGAUACGACUCCCUUUCUGAGGUUCCCGCUUCUUCAAGACCUUGGAUCCCUUUGCAAAAACAAGCGCAGCAAAAACCAGUAGCACUUCAGCCUGGACACUUCACUUUUUUGUUGUCGUUUUGUUUUAAACGGGACGUAAAAAGAGCAGAAUGUAAAAAAAGCCCAAUCAAUCCGAUACGAGAGGGAGUGACACGUUUUAAGUAUUAUAAAGUAUUACAUCUUUCAUUCUCUCUUUCUUUUUUCCGAAGCAGGGAGCAGAUCCAAACUCAGCAUGAGUAAACAGUGAGUCCUUCUCUGCCUGGUACAGAGCUGGUCCUGAAAGAAUGAUCUCCAUCUGACUGUUUGAUGACCCGAUAAAAACAUAAUUGAGAAUGUAUUUUCUGGCUAAACAAACCCUGGUCAUACCACGGAAACUAUAGGCUAGACAACUCCAUUGUGUGUACGUUUUCAAACACAAGGAGCAUGUUUAAGUUCACGGCUCGACAACACCAGGAUUGUGUGUGUGUGUGUGUGUGUGUGUGUGUGUGUGUGUGUGCAUGGAGGUCAUGAGGACAAGAUGAAUUUGUACAGGAGAAACAGUGCCCUAUCAUGGUGGCCAUGUUUCUCGGGAUCUCACUCCAUUGGAGCAGAGGGUGAUCUUAUCAUAACUAAAGUGCACAGCUUUGUUUGCCAGACAAAGAAAUGGAAAGAAAACUGUCUGAGGGCACGGCAGCAUUUUUCCAUGUAUGCUGAAAGAAAGUGAUAACCUGAAAAAAAUCGAAAAGGGUUUUAAUCAAGUAAAAAAUACGAUUUGAUGUUGCUGAAUCAAUCCCAAAUAUGUUUAAUUUAUAAAAGCAAAAACAUUUUUAUGGGUUAAAUGAGGCACAAAUAGCCUUUUAAUGGCAGGUUACCAAAUUUUUUACAGUGCAGAUGUGAAGGGUAAAGUCAGAACAAAAACUUCAAGGUCUCAAAGCAAUUCUCUCUUAUAUGAGUUAUUAAAGGAUAUAUUCCUGCUCGGGUGUCAUUUAUUCAUUCUCAUAUCGAUCCAAACCUAUGACUUGCUUUAAAUU